This 743-nucleotide long non-coding RNA is filed under the name Homo sapiens (human). RNAcentral's name for it is "novel transcript". The record is from RNAcentral. Lineage: Eukaryota; Metazoa; Chordata; Mammalia; Primates; Hominidae.
UACUGGUAAAGGGAUUAAAGCUGUUUUCUUAAUUCACACAUUUCAUCUUCCAUGGAUGAACUCUAGCUUUUCAGCUCAUCUUGCAAGCCCUCCACUACAGAUUCAUACCUGAAUUACCCAGCAAGGUGGAGCACUGUGUGCCAAGACUGGGAGCCAGGAAACCUGGGCGGCUUGGUGUUCUGAAUUUCUCCAUGUCCUUAGAAAGUGGCUUUACUUCUCUUCCUACAUCUUCCUGGGUCCCCAUUAGGGAGGCAGAACUUCCCAUGUCCUGACUUAUCAGGUUCAGCUGGAACUUGAGGCACUGGGCAACUCUCUGGACGUCAGUGGCAAGCCCGGCCAGACCGAUGUACAACCAACCACCCAUGGGAAAGAUCUCCUGGAAGUCCGUGGUCACCAUCUGGGCCUGGAUCCCGAAGUGCCUGUCUGCAGCGAUGGCCACACGGUUCUUCCCCUUCAUGGCCAUGAUGGCUCCUCCGUUAUAGGACAUAAUAGACAUGAUUGUGUGGUAUACGAGGACCCCUCCAUUGCCGGAGCAAUUCCAGUAAACCGGGUCUAGCCUUCACUCCUGCCCAUCAUUUCUGACAUUUAGACUCUACAUAGAGGGUCCUGAGAUUCCAGGCCUUUACUCAUCCUGCAUCCCCUACCUACUUGGAUGAAUAUUAAUAUUUACAAUAACAGAGAAAAGUUCUCCAGAAUGUCUGGGAGGUGAAAGAAGUUAAAUAAAUGGAAAGUGUUGUUAUUGU